This 444-nucleotide ribosomal RNA is filed under the name Enterobacter cancerogenus. Its description in RNAcentral is "bacterial LSU rRNA". It matches the Rfam family "Bacterial large subunit ribosomal RNA", at positions 1 to 486 of the family's 2925-position model. Lineage: Bacteria; Pseudomonadati; Pseudomonadota; Gammaproteobacteria; Enterobacterales; Enterobacteriaceae. The record is from RNAcentral.
GUUAAGCGACUAAGCGUACACGGUGGAUGCCCUGGCAGUCAGAGGCGAUGAAGGACGUGCUAAUCUGCGAUAAGCGUCGGUAAGGUGAUAUGAACCGUUAUAACCGGCGAUUUCCGAAUGGGGAAACCCAGUGUGUUUCGACACACUAUCAUUAACUGAAUCCAUAGGUUAAUGAGGCGAACCGGGGGAACUGAAACAUCUAAGUACCCCGAGGAAAAGAAAUCAACCGAGAUCCCCCAGUAGCGGCGAGCGAACGGGGAGCAGCCCAGAGCCUGAAUCAGUGUGUGUGUUAGUGGAAGCGUCUGGAAAGGCGCGCGAUACAGGGUGACAGCCCCGUACACAAAAAUGCACAUGCUGUGAGCUCGAUGAGUAGGGCGGGACACGUGGUAUCCUGUCUGAAUAUGGGGGGACCAUCCUCCAAGGCUAAAUACUCCUGACUGACCC